UACGAAGGGUGCAAGCGUUACUCGGAAUUACUGGGCGUAAAGCGUGCGUAGGUGGUUCGUUAAGUCUGAUGUGAAAGCCCCGAGCUCAACUUGGGAAUGGCAUUGGAAACUGGCGGGCUGGAGUGUGGCAGAGGGGGGUGGAAUUCCACGUGUAGCAGUGAAAUGCGUAGAGAUGUGGAGGAACACCGAUGGCGAAGGCAGCCCCCUGGGCCAACACUGACGCUCAGGCACGAAAGCGUGGGGAGCAAACAGG
RNAcentral lists this ribosomal RNA (253 nucleotides) under uncultured bacterium. RNAcentral's name for it is "partial 16S ribosomal RNA". It matches the Rfam family "Bacterial small subunit ribosomal RNA", at positions 524 to 776 of the family's 1533-position model. The record is from RNAcentral.